UCUACGACUCUCGGCAACGGAUAUCUCGGCUCUCGCAUCGAUGAAGAACGUAGCGAAAUGCGAUACUUGGUGUGAAUUGCAGAAUCCCGUGAACCAUCGAGUCUUUGAACGCAAGUUGCGCCCAAGGCCUUUCGGUUGAGGGCACGCCUGCCUGGGCGUCACGCC
Molecule: ribosomal RNA, 165 nt
Filed under: Notholirion macrophyllum
Lineage: Eukaryota; Viridiplantae; Streptophyta; Magnoliopsida; Liliales; Liliaceae
Description: 5.8S ribosomal RNA
Rfam family: 5.8S ribosomal RNA
About the family: 5.8S ribosomal RNA (5.8S rRNA) is a component of the large subunit of the eukaryotic ribosome. It is transcribed by RNA polymerase I as part of the 45S precursor that also contains 18S and 28S rRNA.
Source: RNAcentral